AACGGUUUUCUAAACCGUCGGUCACAGGUUCGAAUCCUGUUGGGUGUACGA
RNAcentral lists this transfer RNA (51 nucleotides) under Sphingobacteriaceae bacterium. RNAcentral's name for it is "tRNA-Ser". It matches the Rfam family "tRNA", at positions 25 to 71 of the family's 71-position model. From Rfam's summary of the family: Transfer RNA (tRNA) molecules are approximately 80 nucleotides in length. Their secondary structure includes four short double-helical elements and three loops (D, anti-codon, and T loops). Further hydrogen bonds mediate the characteristic L-shaped molecular structure. tRNAs have two regions of fundamental functional importance: the anti-codon, which is responsible for specific mRNA codon recognition, and the 3' end, to which the tRNAs corresponding amino acid is attached (by aminoacyl-tRNA synthetases). tRNAs cope with the degeneracy of the genetic code in two manners: having more than one tRNA (with a specific anti-codon) for a particular amino acid; and 'wobble' base-pairing, i.e. permitting non-standard base-pairing at the 3rd anti-codon position. Lineage: Bacteria; Pseudomonadati; Bacteroidota; Sphingobacteriia; Sphingobacteriales; Sphingobacteriaceae. The record is from RNAcentral.